RNAcentral lists this ribosomal RNA (275 nucleotides) under uncultured bacterium. RNAcentral describes it as "partial 16S ribosomal RNA". It matches the Rfam family "Bacterial small subunit ribosomal RNA", at positions 338 to 605 of the family's 1533-position model. The record is from RNAcentral.
CCUACGGGUGGCUGCAGUGGGGAAUAUUGGACAAUGGGGGAAACCCUGAUCCAGCAAUGCCGCGUGUGUGAAGAAGGCCUUCGGGUUGUAAAGCACUUUCAGUGGGGAGGAAGGGGUUAAUGUUAAUACCAUUAAUCAUUGACGUUACCUACAGAAGAAGCACCGGCUAACUCUGUGCCAGCAGCCGCGGUAAUACAGAGGGUGCGAGCGUUAAUCGGAAUUACUGGGCGUAAAGCGUGUGUAGGUGGUUGUAUAAGUUAGAUGUGAAAGCCCCG